RNAcentral lists this ribosomal RNA (387 nucleotides) under uncultured bacterium. RNAcentral's name for it is "bacterial SSU rRNA". It matches the Rfam family "Bacterial small subunit ribosomal RNA", at positions 28 to 417 of the family's 1533-position model. The record is from RNAcentral.
GACGAACGCUGGCGGCGUGCUUAACACAUGCAAGUCGAGCGGUAAGGCCCUUUCGGGGGUACACGAGCGGCGAACGGGUGAGUAACACGUGGGUGACCUGCCCUCAGCUCUGGGAUAAGCCUGGGAAACUGGGUCUAAUACUGGAUAUGACUCCACGGUGCAUGUCGUGGGGUGGAAAGCCUUGUGCGGCUGAGGAUGGGCCCGCGGCCUAUCAGCUUGUUGGUGGGGGAUGGCCUACCAAGGCGACGACGGGUAGCCGGCCUGAGAGGGCGACCGGCCACACUGGGGCUGAGACACGGCCCAGACUCCUACGGGAGGCAGCAGUGGGGAAUCUUGCGCAAUGGGCGAAAGCCUGACGCAGCGACGCCGCGUGAGGGAUGACGGCCU